This 285-nucleotide long non-coding RNA is filed under the name Elaeis guineensis (African oil palm). Its description in RNAcentral is "long non-coding RNA (EGUI_LNC032708)". The record is from RNAcentral. Lineage: Eukaryota; Viridiplantae; Streptophyta; Magnoliopsida; Arecales; Arecaceae.
CAUCCAUGGAUAGGUUCAUAACCAAUUAUUUCUCCAAAUAAUUUCUAGCAAUCAGAUUUUACCUCAGGCAUCCCUUCAGCAGGUGUGUGGUACUAUUGUGCCCUAUUUUUAGAUGUGUGGAGUACCUCCCAUCAAGAGAUCAAUGAAGAAAACUUUCUGGAAGGGGAUGAAACACGUUGAAGAAGAAUAGCCUUUCUGGUUGCAGCAGCCGUGUAAAUCCUGUCGAUAGAAUUUCUUUCUUCGAUUUGAACUCCUUCUCCAUCAAAUCUAAAAUCCACCUUUUGG